AGUGAACGCUAGCGGGAUGCUUUACACAUGCAAGUCGAACGGCAGCGCAGUCUUCGGUCUCUCGGCGGGUGGCCAAGGGGCGGGUGAUUUAGCGGAACAUCCCCAUUAACUUUUUAGUGGUAGGCAACGUCGUGAAUCUUACGCUAUAAGCGCAUCCGAGGUACGCAUGGAAGCAUAAGAUCUUGGAACAUUGCGCCGGCGAAUGAGCGGAUGUCGGAUUAGCUAGUUGGCGGGGUAACGGCCCACCAAGGCGACGAUCCGUAGCUGGUUUGAGAGGACGACCAGCCACACUGGGACUGAGACACGGCCCAGACUCCUACGGGAGGCAGCAGUGGGGAAUUUUGGACAAUGGGGGCAACCCUGAUCCAGCCAUCCCGCGUGGGCGAUGAAGGCCUUCGGGUUGUAAAGCCCUUUUGUCAGGAAAGAAACGUCGCGGGCUAAUACCCCGUGGAACUGACGGUACCUGAAGAAUAAGCACCGGCUAACUACGUG
RNAcentral lists this ribosomal RNA (492 nucleotides) under uncultured bacterium. Its description in RNAcentral is "partial 16S ribosomal RNA". It matches the Rfam family "Bacterial small subunit ribosomal RNA", at positions 29 to 507 of the family's 1533-position model. The record is from RNAcentral.